GUACGCAUAAAGUAGACCACCCAGCACUAGGGUUAUUGCUAAUACUAUUACUGUACCUAAAAU
Molecule: unclassified non-coding RNA, 63 nt
Filed under: Saccharolobus solfataricus
Lineage: Archaea; Thermoproteati; Thermoproteota; Thermoprotei; Sulfolobales; Sulfolobaceae
Source: RNAcentral